Long non-coding RNA from Cygnus atratus (black swan), 263 nucleotides. RefSeq lists it as uncharacterized. The transcript has 3 exons. The record is from RefSeq and is a predicted model, not a curated record. Lineage: Eukaryota; Metazoa; Chordata; Aves; Anseriformes; Anatidae.
GCGCAAGUGGCGUACCUGGUUAAUGGCGGCAGCUUGGCUGCCUCUCUCCUUCCCUGUUUGUUCCUGUGCUUCAAGCAUCACCGAACCCCCAGUUCUAGAGGCCUAGAGUGAGGAAGACUGCAUAUAUAUUUCCAGUGUGGUUUGGGGAAAAAAAACAAACGCACAACAGUGACCAUCUUCUCAGAUCAGCUGGCUAAGCGUGCCAGACAACAUUGUGCAAUGUUCUGUUUCAGACAUUGGUGAGCACCAAAUUUACAGUAAGG